GUACCGCUCGUUUCCUAAAACACCGACAGUUACGCAUUUGACUGGCAGUGAUUGUGGAACGCGGAAGGCAACAUACCGCAACAGGAAGCCCACGCCUCGACACCGGGCCAGGACACGAACAAUAUGGAAAUACCCACGUUCAGUUUUCAUGCCAGCGAAAUCUGCGAAGUCGCCGCGCACGCGACGCCAGCUGGAGCCAUCGAACAGAAGCGGCAAUCUUCGCGACAAAAGGUACGCCACCCGUGCAACGGGAAAUGAAUCCGUCCGGAAAAAAACUUUAAGACACCGUUCUUUAAAAACGUGUCUCCAACGAUCUAUACUUCGCAAGCUUUCGCCGCCUGCGAUCCAAGCCCCAUUUGAUUCCCAUAAAUAUAAAAUACACGGGGCCAACGCCUCGGUUCGCGUUCUCUUAA
Long non-coding RNA from Rhipicephalus sanguineus (brown dog tick), 413 nucleotides. RefSeq lists it as uncharacterized. Lineage: Eukaryota; Metazoa; Arthropoda; Arachnida; Ixodida; Ixodidae. The transcript has 3 exons. The record is from RefSeq and is a predicted model, not a curated record.